Molecule: transfer RNA, 67 nt
Filed under: marine eukaryotic metagenome
Rfam family: tRNA
About the family: Transfer RNA (tRNA) molecules are approximately 80 nucleotides in length. Their secondary structure includes four short double-helical elements and three loops (D, anti-codon, and T loops).
Source: RNAcentral
UCAGGUAGCUCAGUUGGUAGAGCAACGGACUGAAAAUCCGUGUGUCGGCGGUUCAAGCCCGCCUCUG